CAAUAGCGUAUAUUAAAGUUGUUGCAGUUAAAAAGCUCGUAGUUGGAUUUGUGGCGUACGGUGUGUUCCGGGCACUUGGUGUCUGAGUAACCUGCUGUUGCCAUCCUUGGGUGGAACCUGUGUGGCAUUAGGUUGUCGUGCAGGGGAUGCCCAUCAUUUACUGUGAAAAAAUUAGAGUGUUCAAAGCAGGCUUAUGCCGUUGAAUAUAUUAGCAUGGAAUAAUGAGAUAGGACUUUUUUGCUAUUUUGUUGGUUUGCGCAAAGAGGUAAUGAUUAAUAGGGACAGUUGGGGGUAUUCGUAUUCCAUUGUCAGAGGUGAAAUUCUUGGAUUUUUGGAAGACGAACUACUGCGAAAGCAUUUACCAAGGAUGUUUUCAUUAA
This 380-nucleotide ribosomal RNA is filed under the name uncultured eukaryote. RNAcentral's name for it is "partial 18S ribosomal RNA". It matches the Rfam family "Eukaryotic small subunit ribosomal RNA", at positions 592 to 976 of the family's 1831-position model. The record is from RNAcentral.